This is a non-coding RNA of Nelumbo nucifera (sacred lotus), 2659 nucleotides long. Lineage: Eukaryota; Viridiplantae; Streptophyta; Magnoliopsida; Proteales; Nelumbonaceae. The record is from RefSeq and is a predicted model, not a curated record.
GUAAUGUUAAGUUGGCCUGAAUGCCGAAUUUCAACUUUCCAAAGAUAAGCAUCCCAACAACAAACUAACAACCAAAAUGCUCAAGCACAAGACUAAAACCAACUGGGUCUGGGUUGCUUUCUGGGUGCUGUGGGCUUUCAAUGCUAAAACUUGAAAGCAAGAGAGAACGCUGGGAAUUGUGAUAAUAGAUGGGCCGACUGUUCGACCCUUCGUGAACGAGGAGGAGAUAUUCAAUAAGAGUGUGGAUGAGCGGUUCGCCUCCUUAGACCUCAUCGACGACGGUGUCCUCUGCAGGUCAGAGCUGCGCAAGGCUUUCGAAUCCCUCUGACUCAUCGAGACCCAUUUCGGAACCGACAUGGCCUCCUAACCUGGCAAUCUCACCCAACUCUAUGAUGCCAUCUUCAAGAAGUUCGACUGCGACCGCAACAGAACCAUCGAUGGUGACGAGUUCAGGUUUGAGACGAAAAAGAUAAUGCUCGCCAUCGCCGAUGGCCUCGGUGACUCACCCAUUCAGAUGGUUAUCGAAGAUGAUGACAAUAGCUUUGUCAAGAAAGUGAGUACGCAAACAAAAUGUAAAGGAAUUCUAUUAUCCCUUAGCGUCAUCAGUUAUCACUUUCAUGACUGCUAAAAAAUCCAGCUUUGUAGAGAUGUAAGUGAUUCACUAUUUAUUAAAUCGGCGAAUAAUUUUCUCUAGAUAAUUAUAUGUAAAGAGUUCUUCCGAAAGAAACAGAGUGAAGGAAUCAAAAUUAAAGGAAAAUGGACCUUCCUUGUUGUGGAGUGACCGAGGGAACGAAAAUGCCACAACUGUUCGUUCUUCUAGAAUCGUCGGAUCUGUGAAGCUGGUAGCAACCAUUCCCACCGGCCAUAGUGAGAAGCUGAUGCAGAGUGAAUGAGGCCCGACAUUUUUGCUAGGAAGCUAAUUUCUUUCUCCUAUUGAAGAAGCUUAGACCUUUCUUAGGUACCAUUUCGUGCUAAUCAAUUUAUGUAAUUUUCAUUCAACUUGUUAAUGGAGAUAUUUUUUUUUAUUAAUAGCUUCAUUGCCAAUUUCAUCAUGCAUGGUUUGAAAAGCAUGAUGUGUGUUUUGGGAAGUUGGAAUCAAUCAUCAUCACUCAUUACUCAGAGUGAAUUCUUCUAUUGUUUUUUGUGUUCAGUCUUUCUGAUUAAGGUGAUUCCUGGAUAAGAUAUCUGUUGUUGUUAUAUAUGCGAGUACCAUCUGUUUGAGAGAGGAUCACAAUCACUACAUUGAAUAUGACUCUACUAAAAAAUCAAAACACAUAGAAGAGUGUCACCAAUUCAUCCAUCACAUUGUUUUUCUUCAACAAUGAAGGUCUUAUUUGGGUUUUAUUAACUAAAGAGGCUCCAAGUAAGAGAAAUCCUUCAUUUUAUUCAAGAUAAGCUUUGGAUUGCAGAACAAUAUCUAGAAUGAUGAAGUCUCUAACACUUCCUUGCAAGGUAUGCGUUAUCUUCAUAGUUUAUUCAUCUAAUUCUUCUUUUGGAUCAAGUACUUGUAGUAACGAUGUUUGAGAAAUUAACACUUUUCUUAUCUGUUUCAUUGUCAAGGGCACCAUGUAUAGAAAUAUUUUACUUUAUUUUUUCUUCUAUUUUGUGCAAGCUAAAUCUCAACAUUGGAUGAUCUGUGAUGUUCUUUAGGGACUAUAUUCACAAGAAAAAAAAUGUAAAUAAGGUUUCCUGGUUUUGGUUAUAUUGAUUAAUAGAAGUAUGGGACUGCAUUUGAUUCAUGUCAUCUAUUAUAUUGUGUCCUUUUUUGUUUGAUCAUGGUGGCCUCCAAGCAUGGUAUAAUGACCAUUUGUCAUAACAUCAUAUCACACUUCCUAUUCAUAGGCAUGAUUCUGAUUUCCUUUAUUGCAGACCAAAUCAAUAAUGUAUUAUUUCCAUUACAAUCACCAACUUCUUGUGUUUAUAGGAAAGAAGGGCCUACAUUGUCAAGAAGCAUACCACACUAACAACAUGAUGGUCCUUAUCUGAGUGAUUCUCAUUCAAAGAAACAACAGUAAAAACCAUAGAGGCAUCUUAUCUGAGUGAUUCUCAUUCUUAAAAUUCAACAACCCAUGAAGCUUAAGCCUUACAUUUUGAGGCUUAUCCCUUACAUGUCUAAAGGUCUUGGCAUCUGGCCUCAUGUCUUGUGUUUUUAAACAUUGUUAUCAAUUCACCUUUUUGCAAGAUUUGGUAUUGACUUCAAAGUUUAAUUAGGGUUUUGCAUUUGACUUUUAUGAUGUUUCUUUUAUUUGUUGUUAAGUUUAAUCAUAGGAAUUAGUAAUUUUUUUCUAACUUCUGAUAUUUGUUGGAUUCUAGGCAUCAGAUUUUUAUUUUCAAAAGGUUGAAGGGCCAUGUGCUUUAAAAAGCAGAGAAGUAAGAAUGGAGUUGACAAUAACACAACCUGACGACUGGCACCUUCACCUCCGUGAUGGUGAUCUUCUUAGAGGGGGUACUCCUAACAGGUCCUGUUCUUGUUCUUUAACAUGUUUCCUUUGUAGGACCUUGAAGAUGCAGGGAUGCAUGGCUGGUGCUUGGGUAUUCAAACCUGCAUACAAAGAGAAAAAUGUAGCUGCCACAUAAUAUGGGAUUCGAGACUCCUUUUAAUUUUUCAUACUUUAAUCAUUACCAUGACAACCUCCUUGCACGUGCACACUUACUAGUA